This 496-nucleotide ribosomal RNA is filed under the name uncultured bacterium. RNAcentral describes it as "partial 16S ribosomal RNA". It matches the Rfam family "Bacterial small subunit ribosomal RNA", at positions 28 to 507 of the family's 1533-position model. The record is from RNAcentral.
GAUGAACGCUGGCGGCGUGCCUAAUACAUGCAAGUCGAGCGAACGGACGAGAAGCUUGGUCCUCUGAUGUUAGCGGCGGACGGGUGAGGAACACGUGGACAACCUACCUAUAAGACAGGGAUAACUUUGGAAACCGGAGCUAACACCGGAUAAUAUUUUGAACCUCAUGGUUGCAAAGUGAAAGUUGGUCUUGCUGUCACGUAUAGACGGAUCCGCGCUGCGUUACCUAGUUGGUAAGGUAACGGCUUACCAAGGCAACGAUGCAUAGCCGACCUGAGAGGGUGAUCGGCCACACGGGAUGUGAGACACAGUCCCGACUCCGACACGGGGCAGCAGCAGGGACUCUUCCGCAAUGGACGAAUGCCUGACGGAGCACCGCGGCGUAAGUCCUGAAGGACUUCGGACCGUAAAACGAUGUUAUUCGGGAGAAACAUAUGUGUAAGUAGCUGUGAACAUAAUGACGGUACCUACUCAGAAAGCCACGGCUAACUACGUG